RNAcentral lists this ribosomal RNA (253 nucleotides) under uncultured bacterium. Its description in RNAcentral is "partial 16S ribosomal RNA". It matches the Rfam family "Bacterial small subunit ribosomal RNA", at positions 524 to 776 of the family's 1533-position model. The record is from RNAcentral.
UACAGAGGUCUCAAGCGUUGUUCGGAUUCAUUGGGCGUAAAGGGUGCGUAGGCGGCGCGGUAAGUCGGGUGUGAAAUCUCGGAGCUUAACUCCGAAACUGCAUUCGAUACUGCCGUGCUUGAGGACUGGAGAGGAGACUGGAAUUUACGGUGUAGCGGUGAAAUGCCUAGAUAUCGUAAGGAAGACCAGUGGCGAAGGCGGGUCUCUGGACAGUUCCUGACGCUGAGGCACGAAGGUCAGGGGAGCAAACGGG